RNAcentral lists this ribosomal RNA (427 nucleotides) under uncultured bacterium. RNAcentral describes it as "partial 16S ribosomal RNA". It matches the Rfam family "Bacterial small subunit ribosomal RNA", at positions 355 to 774 of the family's 1533-position model. The record is from RNAcentral.
UGGGGAAUAUUGCACAAUGGGCGCAAGCCUGAUGCAGCCAUGCCGCGUGUAUGAAGAAGGCCUUCGGGUUGUAAAGUACUUUCAGCGGGGAGGAAGGCGAUGUGGUUAAUAACCGCGUCGAUUGACGUUACCCGCAGAAGAAGCACCGGCUAACUCCGUGCCAGCAGCCGCGGUAAUACGGAGGGUGCAAGCGUUAAUGGGAAUUACUGGGCGUAAAGCGCACGCAGGCGGUCUGUCAAGUCGGAUGUGAAAUCCCCGGGCUCAACCUGGGAACUGCAUCCGAAACUGGCAGGCUUGAGUCUCGUAGAGGGGGGUAGAAUUCCAGGUGUAGCGGUGAAAUGCGUAGAGAUCUGGAGGAAUACCGGUGGCGAAGGCGGCCCCCUGGACGAAGACUGACGCUCAGGUGCGAAAGCGUGGGGAGCAAACA